RNAcentral lists this transfer RNA (76 nucleotides) under Rhizoctonia solani AG-1 IB. RNAcentral describes it as "tRNA-Thr". Lineage: Eukaryota; Fungi; Basidiomycota; Agaricomycetes; Cantharellales; Ceratobasidiaceae. The record is from RNAcentral.
UAAUGAUGAGGUCCCUUGUUCGAACCAGGGUGGGGGCAGCCCUUAUAGCUCAGUGGUAGAGCGCAUCACUCGUAUC